UUGUAGUCUGCAACCCGACUACAUGAAGCUGGAAUCGCUAGUAAUCGCGGAUCAGAAUGCCGCGGUGAAUACGUUCCCGGGUCUUGUACACACCGCCCGUCACACCAUGGGAGUCGGAAAUGCCCGAAGUCUGUGACCCAACCUACGGGAGGGAGCAGCCGAAGGCAGGUCGGAUGACUGGGUGAAGUCGUAACAAGGUAGC
Molecule: ribosomal RNA, 202 nt
Filed under: uncultured bacterium
Lineage: Bacteria
Description: partial 16S ribosomal RNA
Rfam family: Bacterial small subunit ribosomal RNA
Source: RNAcentral